Molecule: ribosomal RNA, 286 nt
Filed under: Shigella flexneri
Lineage: Bacteria; Pseudomonadati; Pseudomonadota; Gammaproteobacteria; Enterobacterales; Enterobacteriaceae
Description: partial 16S ribosomal RNA
Rfam family: Bacterial small subunit ribosomal RNA
Source: RNAcentral
AAAUUGAAGAGUUUGAUCAUGGCUCAGAUUGAACGCUGGCGGCAGGCCUAACACAUGCAAGUCGAACGGUAACAGGAAGCAGCUUGCUGUUUCGCUGACGAGUGGCGGACGGGUGAGUAAUGUCUGGGAAACUGCCUGAUGGAGGGGGAUAACUACUGGAAACGGUAGCUAAUACCGCAUAACGUCGCAAGACCAAAGAGGGGGACCUUCGGGCCUCUUGCCAUCGGAUGUGCCCAGAUGGGAUUAGCUAGUAGGUGGGGUAACGGCUCACCUAGGCGACGAUCCC